GUGCCAGCAGCCGCGGUAAUACGGAGGAUGCGAGCGUUAUCCGGAUUUAUUGGGUUUAAAGGGAGCGCAGACGGGCGAUUAAGUCAGUUGUGAAAUGCCGCGGCUCAACCGUGGACUUGCAGUUGAAACUGGUUGCCUUGAGUGCGGUUGAGGUAAGCGGAAUUCGUGGUGUAGCGGUGAAAUGCUUAGAUAUCACGAAGAACCCCGAUUGCGAAGGCAGCUUGCCAAACCGUAACUGACGUUCAUGCUCGAAGGUGCGGGUAUCAAACAGGAUUAGAUACCCUGGUAGUCCGCACGGUAAACGAUGGAUACUCGCUGUUGGCGAUAUAAUGUCAGCGGCUUAGCGAAAGCGUUAAGUAUCCCACCUGGGGAGUACGCCGGCAACGGUGAAACUCAAAGGAAUUGACGGGGGCCCGCACAAGCGGAGGAACAUGUGGUUUAAUUCGAUGAUACGCGAGGAACCUUACCCGGGCUUAAAUUGCUAAUGAAUUAUUUGGAAACAGAUAAGCCGCAAGGCAUUAGUGAAGGUGCUGCAUGGUUGUCGUCAGCUCGUGCCGUGAGGUGUCGGCUUAAGUGCCAUAACGAGCGCAACCCUUGCCGUUAGUUGCCAUCAGGUAAUGCUGGGGACUCUAUCGGGACUGCCAUCGUAAGAUGUGAGGAAGGUGGGGAUGACGUCAAAUCAGCACGGCCCUUACGUCCGGGGCUACACACGUGUUACAAUGGGGGGUACAGAAUGCUGCUUACGUGCAAACGUUGGCUAAUCACGAAAGCCCCUCUCAGUUCGGACUGGAGUCUGCAACCCGACUCCACGAAUCUGGAUUCGCUAGUAAUCGCGCAUCAGCCACGGCGCGGUGAAUACGUUCCCGGGCCUUGUACACACCGCCCGU
This 887-nucleotide ribosomal RNA is filed under the name uncultured bacterium. RNAcentral describes it as "bacterial SSU rRNA". It matches the Rfam family "Bacterial small subunit ribosomal RNA", at positions 505 to 1397 of the family's 1533-position model. The record is from RNAcentral.